This is a long non-coding RNA of Ornithorhynchus anatinus (platypus), 658 nucleotides long. RefSeq lists it as uncharacterized. NCBI's taxonomy places the organism in Eukaryota, Metazoa, Chordata, Mammalia, Monotremata, Ornithorhynchidae. The record is from RefSeq and is a predicted model, not a curated record. The transcript is spliced from 4 exons.
GGACGACUUUACAGUCGAGGGGGUCUGCGGCGGGACUUCAUUUCCCCACCCAAGACUUCUCCUCCCCGCAACGAGCAGCUCGAUCAUCCCCAGCUGAGAGUGGCGGCGUCCGAGGAGAGGAGGAGUCCGGCUAGGACUGGACUGGAGCAGGAGACCUGGUGUUCUGAAUGGUCUCCUAAGACCACAGAGGCUUCCAGGUGCCUCCCUGCCCUUCAUCAGGCUUUUGGGCAGCACCUGGGCGAUGACCAAGCAUCAGAGAUGGAGACAGAAUUCAGUUUUCCUCGGCUUGUGAGACGCCAGGAAUACGGUAAUGAGUAUUAGUGUAACGCACAGCCGCCGGGAGAGAAAGAGGCAAAAAGAGGAAGAAGAAAAGGCGUCUCUCCUCUCCCGAUAGAGUUGCCCCUUCUCGGUGGCGGGCAGCAUCUCCUCCUCCUCCUCCUCCUCCUCCUCCUCCUUCUUCCUCGCCGCCCUUUAAGCUGAGUGCGUUGUGAUUUCCAAUAAUUGAGACAGUGAUUCUAACAGCUGUCUGCAUUAAUGAAAAGAACAAUGUGGUCAGCUUGACUGAGUCGGUCUUCGGGGUCGCCCAGCGACCCGCGCACGCUCGCCGGACGGACCGUGGGGGGUGGGCCGGCCAUGCGGCCGUAGGUCGAGGGCCGGG